GGAGCUCAAAGAUUUGCAGAAGAACCCUCCUAUGACCGGUGAAAAAGUUCAAGAAGUGAAGAGGCAAUAGCUCGGCAGCAAGAUAGUGAUGCUGGAAAGCUAAUCGGAGGAUAUUCACUGUCCGAGAAAAAAAGAGAAGAAUGGUGGUAGAGAUCUUGCCGUUGAAGGUGCUAUCGACUGUGAGGCAGAGUGAUUAAAAGAAAAUCACAAGCAAAAGAAGAAGAAAUAGUCUUGCAGCAAAGGAGAAAUAAGUUAUUAUUGCACUAAUUAUUCAAUGAUAUCCAUAAUUCAUGUGAUUUCUUUUAGACAAAUUUUCAAAGUUUACACAGUAUAUCCAUUACUUUUUUUAAAUUUUGUUUAUAUAUUACUUAUUUGAUUGGUAAGGAAAAAGUUCCAUAUUUUUUAGAAUAACAUAAAAGGGAAGGGUUGGGUUGAAAGUUACCAAAUAUUAACAUAGAACUUUUCUGUAUCCUUUGAGCUAGAUUCUAAAUGCAGAUGAAGUGAAAAUCCUAUUUUGUAGAGGUUUUGGGUAUAGAAUGCCAUGUAUUGAAAAAGUUUGUUAGUCAUAUUAGUCUUUUUUUUGUAUUAUUUUCUGUAUUUUUUUGUGGUUACUUAUUUGAUGUUAAGUGUUUUGCAUCUAAAUUUGUUCUUUUUGAAAUCACUAAACAUAAAUAUUUUUAUGCUUUUUUUUACUGCCAUAAAGAAUAUGAAGAUUUAAACCUUGUAGAUCUUCAAUUGAGUAGUAUUGUCAGAAAAAUAUUGUAACAUACUGUGAGGCAUUAUUUUUUUUUUGUUAAUUUGCAUUUCUAAUUCUUUUUUAAAAUAAAAUAUGUAGCUUAUUAAAACAGAAACUUAGU
This is a non-coding RNA of Arachis ipaensis, 857 nucleotides long. NCBI's taxonomy places the organism in Eukaryota, Viridiplantae, Streptophyta, Magnoliopsida, Fabales, Fabaceae. The record is from RefSeq and is a predicted model, not a curated record.